This 1760-nucleotide long non-coding RNA is filed under the name Heterocephalus glaber (naked mole-rat). RNAcentral's name for it is "lncRNA (ENSHGLG00100036400.1)". The record is from RNAcentral. Lineage: Eukaryota; Metazoa; Chordata; Mammalia; Rodentia; Bathyergidae.
CCACUUCCUUUCCCCAGGGGCCGCGGCAUUCUUGGGGCGGUGACCCACACCAUCUCCACUGCACUGCUGGCCUUCGAGCUGACUGGCCAGAUUUGUGCACGGGCUCCCUGUGCUGAGUGCGUGCUGGCAGCCAAAUGCCAUUGCCCAGAGCUGCCAACCCUCCUUCUAUGAUGGCACCAUCAUAGUCAAGAAGCUGCCUUACCUGCCCUGGAUUCGAGGGCCGCAUUGGGUGAGCGACUGCAGCAUGCGGGGAUGCUCGGAGUUGGGAGGGCUGGGGGAGGCCCCAGAAGAAAGGCCACUGAGGCUGACCUUGGCCAUGACUCCUCUGGUCCCAUGCUCCCCAGCACCCCACUUGCCUGGUGCAGGCUGCAGCCUCACACGGACAGCACAGAGCCAGCACCAGCUUUGGGGUCCCCCCCCUCCCCUACCCCUGCUGCUCUGCUGUCCUUACUGCAUUGGGGGAGCUGGGGUGGAGCUAGGGAAUGGAGCUUUGAGGGUCUAGCUGGACCAUGUGGUCCAGAGGCUCCGAAGGCUCUGGAUCAAGGUCAGCUCCAAACCUCAGUUUCCCCAUCCAUGAGAUGUGGGUGCUCAUCAGAGGUUUCAGACUUCAGAGUUGUUCUUUGAUUUUGAUUUUGCUGUGUAACUUUUCUCCCAGUAGAGUUUUCCCAGGAAGGUGAUGGGAUGAAUCAGAACAAAGCAGAACUGGACCUGGGUCUGGGGCAGGAUCUGGAGGCCUCAGGUUCAGGCCUGGACCCUCAGGUGAGGUGUCCCAGGCUCCUUCCCACUGUGGAGUCCUGGGGGUCACUCAGCCUGGACCCCCUCAAUCCCCACCCGCACUGGAGUCCUGGGUCCUGUCCCAGCCAAUUCCCCCAGGCUGCCGAGGACCCUGCUCAUCCUGGGCGCUGAGGGCCUUAUUGGGGAUCCCUCUGCUGCAGCUCCCACCCGGUGAACGUGGGGCACUUCAUGAACAGCACCAUCACCACACUGGCCAAAGACGCGCCGCUGGAGAAGGUGGUUAAGGUUGUGACCUCCACGGAUGUGACCGAGUACCCCUGGUGGAGAGCACAGAGUCUCAGAUCCUCGUGGGCACUGUAUGCAGGGCCCAGCUGGUGCAAGCCCUCCUGGCUGGGCCACCUUCCUGGGCUCAAGGACAACAGGACCUCCUGUCUGAGGGCUGCCCCACCACACCAGUGACCCUGCAGCUGACCCCAGACACCACACUGCAUCAGGCACACAACCUGUUUGAGCUGUUGAACCUCCAGUCCCUCUUCGUGACGUCGCGGGGCAGAGCUGUGGGCUUUGUGUCCUGGGUGGAGUUGAAGAAGGCGAUUUCCAGCCUGACAAACCCAUCAGCCCCGAAGUGAGCUGGCCUGGCCAGACGACCUGAGGGCUGGGGCCCCCAGCGACAGAGACCCUGCUUCAUCCUCACUACACGCCCCUCCGCCAGCUCAGCUCCAGCCACGCAGGGAGAGGCACCCCAGUCCUGUGUCCCUGUGUCCCAUCCCCGGGGGACACCAGUUACUGCCUCCAGGGGACAAAUCCCAAUAGAGCAGGCAACUGGCCAGCGUGGGUGCUCAGGGUUUGGUCAUCAAAGCCGUAAACAGCAGCCCAUGAGGAUGGCCCCGGUGCCCUCUGGUGUUGUAGAUUCCCCAGCCUGAAACUCCAAGAAUAAAGCAUCCUGUCUCCCUGCAUCCCUGUCUCCGCCAGGUGUGGACCCGGCCCUCAGCUCUGGCCCUCCCUGGUCUCCUCCUCUUGCCCCA